UAAGAGAUUAGAGUUUUCGGUUCGGCCGGACGAAACACAGGUGCUGCAUGGCUGUCGUCAGCUCGUGUCGUGAGAUGUUGGGUUAAGUCCCGCAACGAGCGCAACCCUCACUUUUAGUUGCCAUCAUUAAGUUGGGCACUCUGAAAGAACUGCCAGUGAUAAGCUGGAGGAAGGUGGGGAUGACGUCAAGUCCUCAUGGCCCUUACGUGUUGGGCUACACACGUGCUACAAUGGUAUCUACAACAGGAAGCAAGACUGCGAGGUCAAGCAAAUCCUUAAAAGAUACCUCAGUUCGGAUUGCACUCUGCAACUCGAGUGCAUGAAGCUGGAAUUACUAGUAAUCGUGGAUCAGCGUGCCACGGUGAAUGCGUUCCCGGGUCUUGUACACACCGCCCGUCACACCAUGGGAGUUGGUUCUACCUUAAGGCAAGGUUUCAAACCCUUGACCACGGUAUAGUCAGCGACUGGGGUGAAGUCGUAACAAGGUA
This 488-nucleotide ribosomal RNA is filed under the name uncultured bacterium. RNAcentral describes it as "bacterial SSU rRNA". It matches the Rfam family "Bacterial small subunit ribosomal RNA", at positions 1000 to 1498 of the family's 1533-position model. The record is from RNAcentral.